This 1386-nucleotide ribosomal RNA is filed under the name Triticum aestivum (bread wheat). RNAcentral's name for it is "partial small subunit ribosomal RNA". The record is from RNAcentral. Lineage: Eukaryota; Viridiplantae; Streptophyta; Magnoliopsida; Poales; Poaceae.
AUGUCUCAGACAUCUGAGGAAGAGUCUCUAUUCAACUUCCGGCAGCAACAGAAGCUGGCACUCUGUGAAGCAGCACUGAGCAAAGGCAACCCCAUCAUCCAUGCAGGGAAAAAGAGACGAGGUCAUCCUGGCCAACCAGAUCCAGAUGCAGAAGUAGUUGCAUUCUCACCCAAGACAUUAUUGGCAACAAACAGAUAUAUAUGUGAAGUCUGCCAUAAGGGUUUCCAGAGAGACCAAAACCUUCAACUCCAUAGGAGGUGUCACAACUUACCAUGGAAGCUCAAGCAGACAAGCGGCACCGACGCUAAGAAGAAGGUGUAUAUUUGCCCUGAAGCCACCUGCCCUCACCAUGAUGCAACCCGUGCUUUGGGUGAUCUAACAGGGAUAAAGAAGCACUACUCAAGGAAGCAUGGCGAGAAGAAAUGGAAGUGUGAAAGAUGCUCUAAGAAAUAUGCAGUCCAAUCGGACUGGAGAGCACACACGAAGAUAUGUGGCACCAAGGAGUACCGCUGUGAUUGCGGAACAAUAUUCUCAAGAAAGGACAGCUUCAUCACACAUCGAGCCUUCUGUGAUGCAUUAACUGAAGAUAACUCCAGAAUCAACCAAAGCCUUGCUGCCAUGGUGGGAAGUUUGCACGGUCAACAGCAGUGCAUCUUUCCGCACACGAUACCUGGUGCAGACUCUUCCCCAACUGAUGCAGCCGGAAACUUCUCUGGUAAUGACCAGAGUUCAGACGACCAUCUGGGGUCUUUAUCACCUUAUACUUUCAUCCGAAGGUCCACUUCAUUGUUCUCCAACCAGAUGAUAUUACCACACGAUUCUGGCACUCUAGCAGAUGGGAGUGAACCAAGCUCUCCUUACAUGUCCAUGAGCUCUCCAUACAUGUCAGCCACAGCCCUGCUACAGAAAGCAGCAGAGAUGGGAGCAAAGACCAGUGAAGAUCCUACCACGCCAUUGCUUCUGAAAGGUUUCCCGAACUAUUUCACCACCAAAGGUCACAUUGGAAUAUCUUCUGGCAUCCUAGGGACCCCAAUAGCUAAUAGUGAUAGAAAGAAGACUGCUGAAGACAACAGCUCCUACAUGAACUCAACAUGGACUGGUAGCUGCAUGAGACCUCCUAAUGCAGUGCCUUGGAUCGGACUACCACCAUUUUCCAUGGGGGCAGAAAAUAGAAGCUCUAUCAUGGUUGACGCGGAUCAUAUGCAGCAAAAUGCACAUGAGACCAUUUUUGGGGUUAGAGAUGUGGGACUAACGCAAGACUUUCUAGGUUUAGGAGGCCAUGGUAAUGCCGAGAUGCACGAUGACACCUACAAUGGGGAAAUGGCAUUAAGCUAUUCAAAUGAGCAGCAGAAAUCUGAGCAAGAUAUCUACUCCUACCAUCAGUAG